UUGCACGCUGGCGGCAUGCCUUACACAUGCACGUCGAACGGCAGCACGGGUGCUUGCCCCUGGUGGCGAGUGGCGAACGGGUGAGUAAUACAUCGGAACAUGUCCUGUAGUGGGGGAUAGCCCGGCGAAAGCCGGAUUAAUACCGCAUACGAUCUACGGAUGAAAGCGGGGGACCUUCGGGCCUCGCGCUAUAGGGUUGGCCGAUGGCUGAUUAGCUAGUUGGUGGGGUAAAGGCCUACCAAGGCGACGAUCAGUAGCUGGUCUGAGAGGACGACCAGCCACACUGGGACUGAGACACGGCCCAGACUCCUACGGGAGGCAGCAGUGGGGAAUUUUGGACAAUGGGCGAAAGCCUGAUCCAGCAAUGCCGCGUGUGUGAAGAAGGCCUUCGGGUUGUAAAGCACUUUUGUCCGGAAAGAAAUCCUUGGCCCUAAUACGGUCGGGGGAUGACGGUACCGGAAGAAUAAGCACCGGCUAACUACGUG
Molecule: ribosomal RNA, 485 nt
Filed under: uncultured bacterium
Lineage: Bacteria
Description: partial 16S ribosomal RNA
Rfam family: Bacterial small subunit ribosomal RNA
Source: RNAcentral